GGGCGUAUGGUCUAGAGGUAUGAUACCUGCUUUGGGUUUCACAUCCUUUGCAGGGGGUCUUCGGUUCGAAUCCGGAUUCGCCCC
Molecule: transfer RNA, 84 nt
Filed under: Lentinula aciculospora
Lineage: Eukaryota; Fungi; Basidiomycota; Agaricomycetes; Agaricales; Omphalotaceae
Rfam family: tRNA
About the family: Transfer RNA (tRNA) molecules are approximately 80 nucleotides in length. Their secondary structure includes four short double-helical elements and three loops (D, anti-codon, and T loops).
Source: Rfam by way of RNAcentral